Molecule: ribosomal RNA, 87 nt
Filed under: Octodon degus (degu)
Lineage: Eukaryota; Metazoa; Chordata; Mammalia; Rodentia; Octodontidae
Source: RNAcentral
AUCUCCAGCCAUACCACCCAGAACUCUCGUGAUCUUGUCUGAGCUCAGAAGCUGGCAGGGUUAGGCCUGGUUAGUGGAUGGGAGAAU